RNAcentral lists this transfer RNA (77 nucleotides) under Chloroflexota bacterium. RNAcentral's name for it is "Chloroflexi bacterium tRNA-Val". It matches the Rfam family "tRNA". Rfam says of the family: Transfer RNA (tRNA) molecules are approximately 80 nucleotides in length. Their secondary structure includes four short double-helical elements and three loops (D, anti-codon, and T loops). The record is from RNAcentral. RNAcentral also lists the same sequence under 2 other names. Lineage: Bacteria; Bacillati; Chloroflexota.
GGGCGAUUAGCUCAGUUGGUUAGAGCACCUGCUUUACACGCAGGGAGUCGGGGGUUCGAGUCCCUCAUCGCCCACCA